This 500-nucleotide ribosomal RNA is filed under the name uncultured euryarchaeote. RNAcentral describes it as "bacterial SSU rRNA". It matches the Rfam family "Archaeal small subunit ribosomal RNA", at positions 370 to 871 of the family's 1478-position model. The record is from RNAcentral. Lineage: Archaea; Methanobacteriati; Methanobacteriota.
AUGAGGGAAUCCCAAGUGCUAGCACGUAAGUGUUAGCUGUUUCUUAGUCUAAAAAACUGAGAGAGUAAGAGCUGGGUAAGACGGGUGCCAGCCGCCGCGGUAAUACCUGCAGCUCGAGUGGUGGCCGCUAUUAUUGGGCCUAAAACGUUCGUAGCCGGUUUAGUAAAUGCCUGGGUAAAUUGUGUAGCUUAACUAUACGAAUACCGGGUAGACUGCUAAACUUGGGACCGGGAGAGGCUAGAGGUACUCCUAGGGUAGAGGCGAAAUUCUGUAAUCCUAGGGGGACCACCAGUGGCGAAGGCGUCUAGCUAGAACGGGUCUGACGGUGAGGGACGAAGCCCUGGGGCGCGAACCGGAUUAGAUACCCGGGUAGUCCAGGGUGUAAACGCUGCUUGCUUGAUGUUAGUUGGGCUUCGAGCCCAACUAGUGUCGGAGAGAAGUUGUUAAGCAAGCUGCCUGGGAAGUACGGUCGCAAGACUGAAACUCAAAUGAAUUGACGG